Molecule: ribosomal RNA, 253 nt
Filed under: uncultured bacterium
Lineage: Bacteria
Description: partial 16S ribosomal RNA
Rfam family: Bacterial small subunit ribosomal RNA
Source: RNAcentral
UACGGAGGAGGCAAGCGUUAUCCGGAAUUAUUGGGCGUAAAGCGUCCGCAGGUGGCACUUCAAGUCUGUCGUCAAAGACUGGGGCUUAACCCUGGAAAGGCGGUGGAAACUGAAGCGCUAGAGUGCGGUAGGGGUAGAGGGAAUUCCCGGUGUAGCGGUGAAAUGCGUAGAUAUCGGGAAGAACACCAGUGGCGAAAGCGCUCUACUGGGCCAUAACUGACACUGAGGGACGAAAGCUAGGGGAGCGAAAGGG